CCUACGGGGAGCAGCAGUGGGGAAUAUUGGGCAAUGGAGGCGACUCUGACCCAGCAACGCCGCGUGCAUGAUGAAGGUCUUCGGAUUGGAAAGUUCUGUGAUGGGGGAUGAACAAAAUGACGGUACCCCAAUCGCAAGCCACGGCUAAGUACCGGCCAGCAGCCGGGGGAAUACGUAGGGUGCAGGCGUUAUGCGGAAUGACGGGGCGGAAAGGGGGCGUAGGGGUUUAGGUAGGUUGGCUGUGAAUUUCCGGGGCUCAACCUCGGCCCUACCGCCAAAACUAGAAGACUAGAGUGCAGGGGAGGUAAGCGGAAUUCCUAGUGUAGCGGUGGAAUGCGUAGAUAUUAGGAGGAACAUCAGGGGCGAAGGCGACUUACUGGACUGUAACUGACGCUGAGGCACGAAAGCGUGGGGAGCAAACAGGAUUAGAUACCCCAGUAGUC
RNAcentral lists this ribosomal RNA (443 nucleotides) under uncultured bacterium. Its description in RNAcentral is "partial 16S ribosomal RNA". It matches the Rfam family "Bacterial small subunit ribosomal RNA", at positions 338 to 795 of the family's 1533-position model. The record is from RNAcentral.